GAUGAACGCUGACGGCGUGCCUAAUACAUGCAAGUCGAGCGAACGGACGAGAAGCUUGCUUCUCUGAUGUUAGCGGCGGACGGGUGAGUAACACGUGGAUAACCUACCUAUAAGACUGGGAUAACUUCGGGAAACCGGAGCUAAUACCGGAUAAUAUUUUGAACCGCAUGGUUCAAAAGUGAAAGACGGUCUUGCUGUCACUUAUAGAUGGAUCCGCGCUGCAUUAGCUAGUUGGUAAGGUAACGGCUUACCAAGGCAACGAUGCAUAGCCGACCUGAGAGGGUGAUCGGCCACACUGGAACUGGGACACGGUCCAGACUCCUACGGGAGGCAGCAGUAGGGAAUCUUCCGCAAUGGGCGAAAGCCUGACGGAGCAACGCCGCGUGAGUGAUGAAGGUCUUCGGAUCGUAAAACUCUGUUAUUAGGGAAGAACAUAUGUGUAAGUAACUGUGCACAUCUUGACGGUACCUAAUCAGAAAGCCACGGCUAACUACGUG
RNAcentral lists this ribosomal RNA (497 nucleotides) under uncultured bacterium. RNAcentral's name for it is "partial 16S ribosomal RNA". It matches the Rfam family "Bacterial small subunit ribosomal RNA", at positions 28 to 507 of the family's 1533-position model. The record is from RNAcentral.